CCUACGGGCGGCAGCAGUGGGGAAUAUUGGACAAUGGGGGCAACCCUGAUCCAGCCAUGCCGCGUGUGUGAAGAAGGCCCUCGGGUUGUAAAGCACUUUCAGUGAGGAAGAACGCCUGGUGGUUAAUACCCAUCAGGAAAGACAUCACUCACAGAAGAAGCACCGGCUAACUCCGUGCCAGCAGCCGCGGUAAUACGGAGGGUGCGAGCGUUAAUCGGAAUUACUGGGCGUAAAGCGCGCGUAGGUGGCUUGAUAAGCCGGUUGUGAAAGCCCCGGGCUCAACCUGGGAACGGCAUCCGGAACUGUCAAGCUAGAGUGCAGGAGAGGAAGGUAGAAUUCCCGGUGUAGCGGUGAAAUGCGUAGAGAUCGGGAGGAAUACCAGUGGCGAAGGCGGCCUUCUGGACUGACACUGACACUGAGGUGCGAAAGCGUGGGUAGCAAACAGGAUUAGACACCCUAGUAGUC
This 465-nucleotide ribosomal RNA is filed under the name Vreelandella stevensii. RNAcentral describes it as "partial 16S ribosomal RNA". It matches the Rfam family "Bacterial small subunit ribosomal RNA", at positions 338 to 795 of the family's 1533-position model. Lineage: Bacteria; Pseudomonadati; Pseudomonadota; Gammaproteobacteria; Oceanospirillales; Halomonadaceae. The record is from RNAcentral.